UACGAAGGGGGCUAGCGUUGUCCGAAGUUCUGGCGUAAAGCGCGCGUAGGCGGGUUGGCAAGUCUGCUGUGAAAGCCCGGGCUUAACUCCGGAGGUCGGUGGAUACUGCCAGUCUUGAAGGUGCUAGGGAGAGAUGGAAUUACAGGUGUAGCGGUGAAAUGCGUAGAUAUCUGUAGGAACACCAGUGGCGAAGGCGGUCUCUUGGGGCAUUCUUGACGCUGAGGCGCGAAAGCUGGGGGAGCGAACGGGA
RNAcentral lists this ribosomal RNA (250 nucleotides) under uncultured bacterium. Its description in RNAcentral is "partial 16S ribosomal RNA". It matches the Rfam family "Bacterial small subunit ribosomal RNA", at positions 524 to 777 of the family's 1533-position model. The record is from RNAcentral.